This 882-nucleotide long non-coding RNA is filed under the name Heterocephalus glaber (naked mole-rat). RNAcentral describes it as "lncRNA (ENSHGLG00100037333.1)". Lineage: Eukaryota; Metazoa; Chordata; Mammalia; Rodentia; Bathyergidae. The record is from RNAcentral.
CACUGAAUAAUGACAGGAGGAAAACCAUGUAUUGAGCUUGUAUACACUGGGUGCUCUGCCAGGCAAUGGAGAUAAGGAGGCUCAUUCCUGCAUAAGACACUGGGACAUGUGGCCUGUGUCACCCAUGUCAUGUCAAACCAACCUGUGGACACAGGUCUUCUGCUUCCCCAAGGCUGGAAUGCGGAAAAACACAUCAAACGCCCUAGUUCUGCUCAGCACCAAGACCUAGAUUCACUCUUCAGAAAGCCUCAAAUUGCCAGCGCCAGUCUUCUGGCAUAGUUCCUCUUAUGUGCUGAAAAAAGGAGAUAAAGUGCAGCAGACAGAUGAGAAACUUCCCAGUGAUCAGAAGCCAUAUUAUUAAUCUGGUCCACUUAACAAAUGGAGUAACUCAGACGCAGCAUAACUUGUCUAAGCCUUAGCAGAAAGGAGGAGAAUUAGAAACAAGCUUUCCUGAGUCCUAAUCUAUUGCCUGCGCCCAUACUGCCUGCCCUCCUUAAAGCCUGAAUCCCAGUCUGUGCGAAUGAUCCUGUCGUCCAGAUGAGUUCUGUUUAUGAAACGCAUGGCAUUUUCUGCAUCUGCUCUCGAGUAUUCCACAAAACAGAAGCCACACGCUGUUUUCAUUUUAUCCAAAACCAUAAUGAUCUUCUUUAUGUCACCACUUUUGCUGAGUUCAUAAAUUUGUUCUUCAGUUGUGUAAAAGGAAAGAUUUCCGAUAUACAAUGUACAACUUUUCUUCAGUAAUUUUUCUUGUUGUCACUUCGAAAGUGCUGGUCCUGGUACUGGCUCAGCUCCACAUAGGAGUCGCUGCGCAAUGCCUUCAAGAGGUCAACAUGAUGCUAAGAGGUAGAGAAAGAUGCAUCGCCUUUGUGAACAGCUAAGGAG